RNAcentral lists this long non-coding RNA (868 nucleotides) under Salmo salar (Atlantic salmon). RNAcentral's name for it is "lncRNA (ENSSSAG00000085150.1)". The record is from RNAcentral. Lineage: Eukaryota; Metazoa; Chordata; Actinopteri; Salmoniformes; Salmonidae.
AUCACGGCGAGCUACCAGGGCCAUGCCCCGUUAGGGAGACGUAGGGAUCUUAAAUGAAACCUACAGUGACGUGGAGUAGCGUUCAAGCAGAGAUAUCUUAGUUUAUGUUUUGUCUCUCACAUGACAUGUAACGCAAGUAAUCAUAAUAUUAUCUGUCCAAGUCUUUGAUGAUUCUCCAGAGCUGUGAAUAAUGAAUCGUAAACUUAACCCUAUACUCUGCUGCCAGUGGACGUCUGGCAGGUUAGGAAAUGCCAGUCAGAGACUGAUAGAUCCAUCCUCUGGAGUUGGGGGAACCCAAUAUGUUGCCCCUGGAUGAUAUAAACAAGGAGAGGUUGACCGUCACCCUCAUGGAUGCUAAUCAUUGUCCAGGGGAGGGCAUGUUCCUAUUCCAAGGAUACUUCGGAACCAUACUCUACACUAGCAGAACACUGUAUUCCACUGUACCACACAAUACUCUACAGGGGGACGAGGGAAAGAUGAAUGAAGUAAAGUACAGUGAGAUCCUUGAUGAAACCUGCUCCAGAGCACUCAGGACCUCACAAUGGGUUGAAGGUUCACCUGCCAACAUGACAACAACCCUAAGCACAAAAAAUCCUGCCAAGAGUGUGCAAAGCUGUGAUCAAUGCAACUUUGAAGUGUGGCUACUUUGAAUGAUCUAAAAUAUAUUUUGAUUUGUUUAAUUCUUUUUUUGGUUACUACAUGAUUCCAUAUAUGUUAUUUAAUAGUUUUGAUCUAUUAUUCUACAUUGUAGAAAAUAGUAAAAAUAAAGAAAAACCCUUAAAUGAGUAGGUGUGUCCAAACUUUUGACUGGUACUGUAUGUUUAAAAAAAAGGAUUAAAGUGUUAAUGUUGACAUUGAAUUGCUAUUU